RNAcentral lists this ribosomal RNA (253 nucleotides) under uncultured bacterium. RNAcentral's name for it is "partial 16S ribosomal RNA". It matches the Rfam family "Bacterial small subunit ribosomal RNA", at positions 524 to 776 of the family's 1533-position model. The record is from RNAcentral.
UACGAAGGGGGCUAGCGUUGUUCGGAGUUACUGGGCGUAAAGGGCGCGUAGGCGGCCCUUCAAGUCGGGCGUGAAAGCCCACGGCUCAACCGUGGAAUUGCGCUCGAGACUGAGGAGCUCGAGGAUGGGAGAGGAUGGUGGAAUUCCCAGUGUAGAGGUGAAAUUCGUAGAUAUUGGGAAGAACACCGGUGGCGAAGGCAGCCCCCUGGGUCAACACUGACGCUCAUGCACGAAAGCGUGGGGAGCAAACAGG